AGCUUUGCGCAGUGGCAGUAUCGUAGCCAAUGAGGUUUAUCCAAGGCGCGAUUAUUGCUAAUUGAAAAAUAUGUUUUAACCAUGAUUAUCAAUCCACCAAUCUUAAAAAAAUCAUCAAGCAUCCUUAAAAAAGG
Molecule: small nuclear RNA, 134 nt
Filed under: Neogale vison (American mink)
Lineage: Eukaryota; Metazoa; Chordata; Mammalia; Carnivora; Mustelidae
Description: Neovison vison (American mink) U4 spliceosomal RNA (ENSNVIG00000012097.1)
Rfam family: U4 spliceosomal RNA
About the family: U4 small nuclear RNA (U4 snRNA) is a component of the major U2-dependent spliceosome. The structure of U4 snRNA from yeast and human has been reported. U4 snRNA presents a k-turn RNA motif in the 5p-SL related to recognition of Snu13 protein.
Source: Rfam by way of RNAcentral